Molecule: long non-coding RNA, 1208 nt
Organism: Mastomys coucha (southern multimammate mouse)
Lineage: Eukaryota; Metazoa; Chordata; Mammalia; Rodentia; Muridae
Exons: 6
Source: RefSeq, a predicted model, not a curated record
UUUACCCUGUCUCUACAGAACAUCAGCUACCUAGCUCUAAAAUCUAUUCUGUAGACUGAGAUUUCCUUGGCUCUUGAGAAAACCAAGACCUACGGAGGAGCUGGGAUUCGCAUAGGAGAGGCUACAGCAGUUCCUAUCAGAGUGGAGUCAACAGAUAUCUCAAGAGGGGGAGUGAAUUCAAAUGGAUACAUCUGGAAAGUCAUCUCACCUUGAUAAACUGGGCCUCCGGAUUAAGCUCCAUGUGCCCUGGAGUGCUGCUGACAGGGGCACUUAGAGCCUCAGAGCAUCUGAAUCUUGGUUAUCCUGUGUGGAACAGUCUGGAAGUUUGAGAAGACAGAUGUUCCCUAGGGCCUUCCACAGAAAACCCUAAGUAAUGCAGGUUCUUCCUAAGGCUGGUCAUGUGUCCCCGGAGAGAGCAUCCUGCUAAACCCCGUCAAGAAACUCCUGUCAGGAUUUCUGCAAGGAGCGACACUGAGAAACACGUGAUCAUGAUCUCUGCGCUGGCUAGUUUCUUUAUGCCAACUUGACACAAGACCAGAAGACACACGGAACAGAGAAGAGGUGACCUACCUAAGGUCACGCUUCUGGUUGGUGUCCUAAGAAUCAAUAGAAUGCGGAGUUCUCACUGUUGUCAGGUCCCAUGAAGAGUGCAAUGCCUACCAUACACACUGUUCCUACAAAACUACUACUUGUCAUGGAUUCGAAUUUCUAAUUAGGAGACAGAGGACGGUGGAACAUCUAACUUGUGUUAGCUGUUGACUAGUGUGGUAAGAGAACACCGGCGCAGGGCGGAGGGCAGAGGCUGAAGGAGGAGGGUGGGACACUGCCGCUUCAUUAGGAGACACUUCGUGGAGAAGGUGGAUUUUGUCUGAAGAUCUGAAGGCAGAGAGGAAGUGCUGCCUGACAAAGAACCCUCUAGAACAAGGAGGCCCAAUGUGCAAAGACACCUGGAGUAGAGAUUCUGGCCUUGGCAAACAUGUGUACUCCAUUCAGUCCCUUAGCUCUCACCAUGGGCUCGUCAUCUGAAAUACAGCCUCCACCCUCACUGUUUUAUCUCUUCUUCAGACCACACUUUGAUAAUCACUGCCUCAUUAUUUUCAUGGUCUAAUUUCUGGACGCCUAUAUCUGCACCCCCACCCCCACAUCUCUUCAGUAUAGGUGCUAUAUGAUUCUAUUAAAACAAGUCUAAUCAUGCUAGGUUUCAAAGU